RNAcentral lists this ribosomal RNA (1217 nucleotides) under metagenome. RNAcentral describes it as "SSU rRNA". It matches the Rfam family "Eukaryotic small subunit ribosomal RNA", at positions 203 to 1412 of the family's 1831-position model. The record is from RNAcentral.
AUUUAUUGGAUACCAAAACCAUCCUUCCCUCGGGAAGUUUUGUUUGAUGAUUCACAAUAACUGAUCGGAUCGCCACUGUGGUGGCGACAUGUCAUUCAACAUUCUGCCCUAUCAGCUUUCGAUGGUUGUGUAGUGGACAACCAUGGCCAUAACGGGUAACGGAGAAUCAGGGUUCGAUUCCGGAGAAGGAGCUUGAGAAUUGGCUACUACAUCUAAGGUAGGCAGCAGGCGCGCAAAUUACCCAAUCCCGAUUCGGGGAGGUAGUGACAAAAAAUCACAAUACCGGGCCUUUUUGGGCUUGGUAAUUGGGAUGAGGGAGAGUUAAACGGACCAUCGAGUAUCCAUUGGAGGGCAAGUCUGGUGCCAGCAGCUGCGGUAAUACCAGCUCCAAUAGCGUAUAUUAAAGUUGUUGCAGUUAAAAGCUCGUAGUUGGACUUGUGUGCGCUGUCCGCGGGUGGCCUGCGCCCAAAAGGGCGUUUCGGUUCGGCCCCGGUGGCGCCUUGAAAUCUGCAGCUGGGGGGACGUUGGCCUUAACUGGUCGGCGACCGCACGCCGGCUGCUCGGCUACUGUGAGAAAAUUAGAGUGUUCAAGGCAGGCAUUGGGUGCAAUUGAAUACAUUAGCAUGGAAUAAUAAAAUAUGGCUCCUGCCGUAUUUUGUUGGUUUUGACUGGUGGGAGUAAUGAUUGAUAGGGACGGUUGGGGGUGCUAGUAUUGAGCGGCCAGAGGUGAAAUUCAUGGAUUCGCUCAAGACUAACUUAUGCGAAAGCAUUCACCAAGGACGUCCUCUUUAAUCAAGAACGAAAGUUGGGGGAUCGAAGACGAUCAGAUACCGUCGUAGUCUCAACCAUAAACUAUGUCGACUUGGGAUCGGCGGUAGUUUUUUCAUUAAGACACUGUCGGGACCACGGGAGAAAUCAAAGUGUCUGGACUCUGGGGGAAGUAAGGUCGCAAGGCUGAAACUUGAAGGAAUUGACGGAAGGGCACCACCAGGAGUGGAGCCUGCGGCUUAAUUUGACCCAACACGGGGAAACUUACCAGGUCCAGAGAUGUAGAGGAUUGACAGAUUGAAGCUCUUUCUUGAUCACUUCGGUGGUGGUGCAUGGCCGUUCUUAGUUGGUGGAGUGAUUUGUCUGGUUAAUUCCGUUAACGAACGAGACCUCAGCCUGCUAGUGUAGUCGGCUGGAUUGCCUUUGGCGAUCCGUGAUUUCGACUUCUU